RNAcentral lists this ribosomal RNA (119 nucleotides) under Helianthus annuus (common sunflower). The record is from RNAcentral. Lineage: Eukaryota; Viridiplantae; Streptophyta; Magnoliopsida; Asterales; Asteraceae.
GGUUGCGAUCAUACCAGCACUAAUGCACCGGAUCCCAUCAGAACUCCGCAGUUAAGGGUGCUUGGGCGAGACUAGUACUAGGAUGGGUGACCCCCUGGGAAGUCCUCGUGUUGCAACCC